UUAGAAUCUUGAGGAUUAUUGUUACCAGUGCCUCCCAUUGAUCCUCCAAACAUCUGCAUCAUUGAUCGUAAUGCACCCGAUAAAUCUUCCGGCAUUUGCUCUGUGCCUCCGAGAUCUAUGUUGAUAUUUCCGCCUACAUGUAUCUCAGGCUCAUCUGCACCAUUUCUGGUACCAUCUCCACCUGCUCCUCCCUCGUUAUUGCGAGAAUGAUUUCCCGGGAAUGUGUUUCCCGCCAUGUUCAUGAACAUGCUCAUCAAAUCAGGGUUUACAGG
Long non-coding RNA from Arabidopsis thaliana (thale cress), 272 nucleotides. RefSeq annotates it as other RNA. The record is from RefSeq. NCBI's taxonomy places the organism in Eukaryota, Viridiplantae, Streptophyta, Magnoliopsida, Brassicales, Brassicaceae. The transcript has a single exon.